CUCUUCAAAACUUCACACAUGGAAGCCCCUGGAUUACGAGCUAAUCCAAAGAAAACUGCAAAGGCUCUUGAACUGACGGAUUCAAUCCCUAUUCCAAAGCAACCACACAAGAGAGACUUAACAAGAGCUGUAAUUAUUAUUAUUAUUAUUAUUAAACUUAAUUUCACAAGCUGAAUGCAUGAGACUUAUAUCACAGGAUUACGUCACAAUGAUAAAGAUUAAAUGUUUUUUAUUUUGAUUGUAGUGACAAAAGUUUUACUUUGUAGUGGUACGUUGUGUUGAAAUCUUGACCUUGACACUGUCCUGUGCUAAGACCCUGACAAAACAGGCAGCCACACACAUGGUUGAUGCCCUGAAGGAGGAACUGAGAAAACAAAAAGUACCUGAUCCUAACACGGCCCCACCACUUUAAGACUCUGACUUAGACUCUGACGCAACAGCCAUUUCUGAAGAAUCCUCUUCCAUGAAGGAACCAAUAAGAAUUCAUGAAUCAGAAAGUGAGGAUGAUAGCCCAUCACAGUGCCCAAAAAAGAAACCAAAGCUUGACAAUGAAAUUGUCAGUGCAUUGAAAGAGUUGCCAAAGGUAGUAAAAACACUAAAAGAUAUAGUGGCGACCAUGAUGGUGGCUCCAGCCUCAUCAAGUCAAGUGCAACAAACAUUUGUUGGAUCACCGCCUGCAGAAAUGGUAUGGUUACAUGCACAGCUAUGUUUGUAAUGUUAACAUAUUAAACAUUCACAUGUGCAGUAUGCUACCUUAAAUACAAGCAAACUCAUAAAAUUAAAUUCAUUGUCGACAAUGCUGUGAACAAGAAAUAUAAACUCAGCCAAAAAAGAAAAUUAAAUUUUUUCUAAUAUAAUAAAUUAAUAAAGGCCUUCUGAAGUUAAGCA
Cyprinus carpio (common carp) is the source of this 888-nucleotide long non-coding RNA. The record is from Ensembl. Lineage: Eukaryota; Metazoa; Chordata; Actinopteri; Cypriniformes; Cyprinidae.